UACAGAGGUCCCAAGCGUUGUUCGGAUUCACUGGGCGUAAAGGGCGCGUAGGCGGCCCGGCGCGUCCGCGGUGAAAGCUCCCGGCUCAACUGGGAGAGGUCCGCGGAAACGGUCGGGCUGGAGCAAGGUAGGGGGUCGUGGAAUUCCCGGUGUAGUGGUGGAAUGCGUAGAGAUCGGGAGGAACACCAGUGGCGAAGGCGGCUGCCUGGCCAAAUACUGACGCUGAAGCGCGAAAGCGUGGGGAGCAAACAGG
RNAcentral lists this ribosomal RNA (253 nucleotides) under uncultured bacterium. Its description in RNAcentral is "partial 16S ribosomal RNA". It matches the Rfam family "Bacterial small subunit ribosomal RNA", at positions 524 to 776 of the family's 1533-position model. The record is from RNAcentral.